UCUGGGCUUGGUUGGCUGGACAGUGGCACUGCUCUUCUUAGAGAUGGAGGUGCAUGUAUCCUUUGCAGGUUCAGAGCCAAAGCUGAUGGAUCUGUAAUUGCAUCUCUUCCUUGCACAGUUGAAUUUACCACUUGGCAAAAUGGCCUGAGAUGAUGUAAGCUGCUUUAUUAAUAAGACAUAACCCUCCCUUUUCUCUCAUACCCUCUUGAAUUCUGCUCCAGGGAUGACUGAGUUCAUCCUAGAUAAUCUCAGCAAUGAGAUCUGGUUGCUUAACUCUUCUUGGAAAGACAGCAUGGAGGCCUGAGAGUGGUAACAAAUCCAGAUGUGACACUUCUCUGUGUAUUUUACUGAAUUAUGUGGAACAAGCUGAGGACAAACACAGGAGACUGUACUCAGUGAAAGUGUAUGCCGUGGUAUCCCGGUGAGUUACUAGGGAAAACAAAUAUUGUACUCCUUGUCACUUGGAUCUGCCUGGAAGUGAAACCAGAAGCUUGGCAUUUAGAUGUGAAUAACUGCCUGUAUGAUUUCCAUUAUCUUUCGUUGACCUAAGAUUGUUUUACUUUAGAAAGUAAUUGCUCUGUGUAUUGAUUAAAGCCUCAAGACUAUAGUGUUUCAGCAGAAGAGAAAAUUCAAGCACAGAGAAGAACAGGAUUGAUUGCUGCUACAGAAAACUAACAGCAGGUUGUUGUCUUUUUAUCUCUGAUGACUUUAAUCUUGAAACUGAUUUUCUAAUUGUGAAUCGCUUUACAGUGUGUACUUCUGAACUGUGAAGCUGGGCUUGCUGCUGGAAUUGAUACAGUUAUUGAUAAGAGGGUUUUUUAUUUUUUUGCAAAUCAGUAUGUUAUAGAGAUAUACCCUCUUGGAAGAGCAACUGCAUUUUCUAGAGAGUAAUUCACCUGGCAAACAAAAGUUCCAGUACUUUGUGACUAAAGGGAUUACUGAGAAAAAAAGCACAAGGCCCUGCCAUAAUAUAUCUGACUUUCUGGUCUGUGCUGUUUAGCAUGAUAAUGACCCAAGAUUCAAUACUGGAGACAUGUAGAAAAUAUAAAAGGUAUUUUCUGUAUUUAAUGAGGUUAGAAAUGAAGCCAAUAUUCACAUUAUGAGUACACUGUAUUCCUAAUGUAGCUAAAAUCAUACUGAUUUCAGUGUGAGAUUUUGCAGUAUUACAGCGAAUUAUCC
RNAcentral lists this long non-coding RNA (1179 nucleotides) under Anas platyrhynchos platyrhynchos (common mallard). Its description in RNAcentral is "lncRNA (ENSAPLG00000016631.1)". The record is from RNAcentral. Lineage: Eukaryota; Metazoa; Chordata; Aves; Anseriformes; Anatidae.